RNAcentral lists this small RNA (125 nucleotides) under Marmota monax (woodchuck). Lineage: Eukaryota; Metazoa; Chordata; Mammalia; Rodentia; Sciuridae. The record is from RNAcentral.
GCCAGGUGUGGUGGUGCAUGCCUAUAAUCCCAGCAGCUCCGGAGGCUAAGACAGGAGGAUCAUGAGUUCAAAGCCAGCCUCAGCAUUGGUGAGGCACUAAGCAACUCAGUAAGACCCUGUCUCUA